This 158-nucleotide non-coding RNA is filed under the name Nomascus leucogenys (northern white-cheeked gibbon). Lineage: Eukaryota; Metazoa; Chordata; Mammalia; Primates; Hylobatidae. The record is from Rfam by way of RNAcentral.
GCCGGGCAUGGUGGCGCCUGCCUGUAAUUCCAGCUACUUGGGAGGCUGAGGCAGGAGAAUCGCUUGAACCCGGGAGGUGGAGGUUGCAGUGAGCCAAGAGUCACUGCAGUGGCGUCACUGCACUCCAGCCUGGGUGACAAAGUGAGACUCCAUCUCAA